CCCCUGGUGGCUCAACUGGUAAAGCAUCUGCCUGCAAUGGAGGAGACCCCAGUUCGAUAUCUGGGUCAGGAAG
Molecule: transfer RNA, 73 nt
Filed under: Ovis aries (sheep)
Lineage: Eukaryota; Metazoa; Chordata; Mammalia; Artiodactyla; Bovidae
Rfam family: tRNA
About the family: Transfer RNA (tRNA) molecules are approximately 80 nucleotides in length. Their secondary structure includes four short double-helical elements and three loops (D, anti-codon, and T loops).
Source: Rfam by way of RNAcentral